GUAAUUGCAAGACUAAACACCACGUCUAAUCUAUUAACUACUACUCUAGCGUUAUAAAGACUAGAGUACUUGAUGCAAGCGGGAAUCCAAUAAAUAACUUGAAUGUAAAUAAAAGUAAUUAAAGAACUCAGGAAUUAUGAAUUGAAGAACUUGGAGAACGUGAAGAACGAACGAGUUGCUGCAAAAGUACAAUGUUGAGGAAGAUCCG
RNAcentral lists this long non-coding RNA (208 nucleotides) under Sorghum bicolor (sorghum). RNAcentral describes it as "long non-coding RNA (SBIC_LNC012795)". Lineage: Eukaryota; Viridiplantae; Streptophyta; Magnoliopsida; Poales; Poaceae. The record is from RNAcentral.